UACGUAGGGGGCAAGCGUUGUCCGGAUUUAUUGGGCGUAAAGAGCGUGUAGGCGGCUAUGCAGGUCCGCUGUGAAAACUCGAGGCUCAACCUCGAGACGUCGGUGGAAACCGCAUGGCUAGAGUCCGGAAGAGGAGAGUGGAAUUCCCGGUGUAGCGGUGAAAUGCGCAGAUAUCAGGAAGAACACCUAUGGCGAAGGCAGCUCUCUGGGACGGUACUGACGCUGAGACGCGAAAGCGUGGGGAGCGAACAGG
RNAcentral lists this ribosomal RNA (253 nucleotides) under uncultured bacterium. RNAcentral's name for it is "partial 16S ribosomal RNA". It matches the Rfam family "Bacterial small subunit ribosomal RNA", at positions 524 to 776 of the family's 1533-position model. The record is from RNAcentral.